GGUAUUAAGCUCGUAGUUGGAUCUAGGGACGCGCAUUUCAAGCGCCCGUGCCAUCGGGUCAAACCGGUGGCUGCGUUGGCGUUGCGGGCUCGGUCCGUCGGUGCCCCACAAAGGGCUAUCGGCGUGUCAACCGGCCCGCCCGUCCCCUCCUUCUGGAUUCCCGUUCCUGCUAUUGAGUUAGUGGGGACGUCACAGGGGGUCCAUCGUCGUGCGGCGUCAAAACCGUGCGGCGGUGGGUCCCUGGGGCCCAGAUCGUUUACCGUGAAAAAAUUAGAGUGUUCAAAGCAGGCAGAUCCAAUUUUCUGCCACCGAAUACAUUAGCAUGGGAUAAUGGAAUAGGACCCUGUCCUCCUAUUUUCAGUUGGUUUUGGCAGCGCGAGGACUAGGGUAAUGAUUAAUAGGGAUAGUUGGGGGCAUUAAUAUUUAAUUGUCAGAGGUGAAAUUCUUGGAUUUAUGAAAGAUUAACUUCUGCGAAAGCAUCUGCCAAGGAUGUUUUCAUUAAUCAAGAACGAAAGUUAGGGGAUCGAAGACGAUCAGAUACCGUCGUAGUCUUAACCAUAAACGAUGCCGACCAGCGAUUAGGAGACGUUGAAUACAAAACACCACCAUCGGUGCGGUCGUCCUUGGCGUCUCGGUCCUUCACGGGGCCGGGGCGCGGGGGUGGCUUAGCCCGGUGGCACCGGUGAAUGACUCCCCUAGCAGCUUGUGAGAAAUCAUAAGUCUUUGGGUUCCGGGGGGAGUAUGGUCGCAAGGCUGAAACUUAAAGGAAUUGACGGAAGGGCACCACCAGGAGUGGAGCCUGCGGCUAAUUCUCACAACUAAACACA
RNAcentral lists this ribosomal RNA (827 nucleotides) under Acanthamoeba sp. RNAcentral describes it as "SSU rRNA". It matches the Rfam family "Eukaryotic small subunit ribosomal RNA", at positions 618 to 1217 of the family's 1831-position model. Lineage: Eukaryota; Discosea; Longamoebia; Acanthamoebidae. The record is from RNAcentral.